RNAcentral lists this ribosomal RNA (410 nucleotides) under uncultured bacterium. Its description in RNAcentral is "partial 16S ribosomal RNA". It matches the Rfam family "Bacterial small subunit ribosomal RNA", at positions 354 to 796 of the family's 1533-position model. The record is from RNAcentral.
GUAGGGAAUAUUGGGCAAUGGAUGCAAGUCUGACCCAGCCAUCCCGCGUGCCGGAAGAAGGCCCUCAGGGUUGUAAACGGCUUUUGACGGUGAAGAAUCGACAGGAUGCGUCCUGUUUUGACGGUAGCCGUUGAAUAAGCACGGGCUAAUCCGGUGCUGGCAGCCGCGGAAAUACAGAGGGUGCGUAGGCUGGAAGGUCAGUCAGCGGUGAAAAGCUGUCGCUUAACGAUAGUCUUGCCGCAGAUACUUCCUUUCUUGGAUGAGGAGGAGGCCACUGGAACGGAUGGUGUAGCGGUGAAAUGCAUAGAUAUCAUCCAGAACACCGAUUGCGAAGGCAGGUGGCUGUACCUUAAUCGACGCUGAUGCACGAAAGCAUGGGGAGCAAACAGGAUUAGAAACCCCUGUAGUCC